UGAGUAAUACAUCGGAACGUGUCUUCUAGUGGGGGAUAACUGCCCGAAAGGGCAGCUAAUACCGCAUGAGACCUGAGGGUGAAAGCGGGGGAUCGUAAGACCUCGCGCUGGAAGAGCGGCCGAUGUCCGAUUAGCUAGUUGGUGAGGUAAAGGCUCACCAAGGCGACGAUCGGUAGCUGGUCUGAGAGGACGACCAGCCACACUGGGACUGAGACACGGCCCAG
RNAcentral lists this ribosomal RNA (224 nucleotides) under uncultured bacterium. Its description in RNAcentral is "partial 16S ribosomal RNA". It matches the Rfam family "Bacterial small subunit ribosomal RNA", at positions 107 to 334 of the family's 1533-position model. The record is from RNAcentral.